GUGCUUGAUUUGGCAACACAUAUACUAAAAUGAGAAGAAUACAGAGAAGAUUAGCAUGGCCCCUGGGCAAGCAUGACAUACAUUUUUUUAAAGUAUUUUAUAUGUAC
Molecule: small nuclear RNA, 107 nt
Organism: Peromyscus eremicus (cactus mouse)
Lineage: Eukaryota; Metazoa; Chordata; Mammalia; Rodentia; Cricetidae
Source: RefSeq, a predicted model, not a curated record